AUCCCCGUUUACAGAGGGCACCAGACACCCAGCGAAGUUGAGGAGCUUGCCCACAGUAGGGGGAGGAGGGGCUGGACCCAGGAAAGUGCUCCAGUGGAUCCAUAGUCUGUGAGGGUUCAGAACAGCAAUGCCGCGCCCCCCAGGAGUGGAAGCACCCUCGCCUUAGCGGCUGGAAGGCUGGCGCUGUCUGUGCAGGUGGGGACUGGUGGUGACCUUGCCUUUCGUGCUGCGAACGUGAUGGCCGCAGUGCUUUUAUUUUUCUAACUCUCUGUGAUAACCUUGGGCUGGCCGCUUUGUACUGGAAGCUCGAGGCUAAAUAAAUAAGCUCAUAUCCUUGACUCCCUGUUGUCACCACGUUGGGCAUUGAACUUGAUGGGGUCCCUUGAUGGAAACCAAGUGUGAACCCUGGGAUGAGCCUUCACAGCCCAGGAAGGACAACCAAGGGUAUGAAGAGUCGGUGGCUCUGAGCCCCAGGACGGAGUUGGUGUGAACACGCCGGGCCGUGAGGAGAAGUCUGUGGAGGGGAGGCUGGAGGGACAAGCUGAG
Long non-coding RNA from Myotis myotis, 546 nucleotides. RefSeq lists it as uncharacterized. The transcript has 3 exons. The record is from RefSeq and is a predicted model, not a curated record. Lineage: Eukaryota; Metazoa; Chordata; Mammalia; Chiroptera; Vespertilionidae.